GGCGGGGGAGAGCCCGGCCCGGGCUAUCGCGGCCCCGGGAGGGCUCAGGGCCGGAGCAGCGCUCCCCGCCGGGCCCUGCCCGCCUUCCUCCCGCUGCCGCCGGGAGAGGCCGCCCGCGCGCACCGCCCCGUGCGCUCCGCGCUGGGAAUAAAGGCGGGGGGGGGCGCGGAGGGGAGGAAGCGCCCCCGAGGAUCGAGGGGGGCCCAGGGGGCGGGCGGGAGCGCGGCCAUGGAUGUAGGAGCGACCGGGAGCGCUCCCGGUAUCUGCACCAGGAUGGCCGAGUGGUUAAGGCGUUGGACUUAAGAUCCAAUGGACGCAUGUCCGCGUGGGUUCGAACCCCACUCCUGGGUAAUAUCAUUGUGUUUAAUAAUACAUCGAAAGUGAGGGAAGGACAAAUCAAGCACAGACUGAUAAAUUUUUAAACAUCAGUAUUUGCCAGAGCAUCCUGGUCAAAUUCUAAUACAGCUUGUUAGAGCACAUGCUGAUCUGGAAUGGAGCAGAAGAUUUUUUUGAACCUUUCCUGAUCUGAAGAAAUACCCAUAAAAUCUACCUGCAACAAGGAUGUCCCAACCCCUUCCUACGCUUCUCCAUAAAGGAAAGUUUAAUCUGCUGGGGUUAUUUGUUUCUGUUUUAGGUGAAGUGGCAGGGUGAUGUGUUGUGUUUUAGGUCUGGAGAUGACCAUGAUUUUAAGACUUAUACUUUACUGAGCAAGUAUUUUUCUUUGGUUUUAAUAGCUUCCCUGUUAAACCCUCAUGAAUUAUUGGUGGUUGCCCUUGCAGUUUGACAUUCUUACAUGCACUUGUUGUACUCUGGCCUUUAGUUCAAACAAUAUUGCUUUUUAUUGGACUCUGUUCUGUGGAUGAGUUGUGUUUCUAAAAAGGAUCCUUGCCUUGUUUGUUGAGGAAAAUGGAAAAAGUAUAGCAACUAAUGCUAGAAACUGGAAUAAAAAAAGGAGAUUCAUAUGCUGACAGUUGAAUGCUACCCUGAUCAACCAGGGCUGUUUUUCUUGCCUCUGCAUAUUUCCUGUCUGAUGAGAAGCUGGUCAGUUAAAAUAGAUUUUUCAUAAGCAAUCAUUUGUUUUCAUGUUCCUUAUUUUGUGGUCUCCAUCUUGAGUACCUCAGUCUGAUGUGCAGAAAUGCAAAGCUUUUGCAAGCACAGGUGAAAUCAAUGUAUUACCUAUACUUUAAGGAAUCUCUGAAAAGAAUUGUAUUAUUUGUUUCUGAGCAGUCAGAAUAACUUCAGGCAAAAGUUAUUGGAGAUACUUGAUGUUAAUCUUUCCGUACCUCAAUUUGCCAUUGUAUAAAAUAGAAGUAAUAAAAGUACACCAUUUGCAAAAUGGGCUGCUAUGAAGUAAAUUCAUUCUUGUUUCUGAAGAAUUCAGAUGGAUACUUAGAUAA
Molecule: long non-coding RNA, 1397 nt
Organism: Chiroxiphia lanceolata (lance-tailed manakin)
Lineage: Eukaryota; Metazoa; Chordata; Aves; Passeriformes; Pipridae
Exons: 3
Source: RefSeq, a predicted model, not a curated record